UAAGACAGAAGGUGCAAGCGUUACUCGGAAUUACUGGGCGUAAAGCGUCUGUAGGUGUCUUGCCACGUUUGGUAUUAAAUUUCGGGGCUCAACCCCGAAUGCAUAUCGGAUACGAGCAGGAUCGAGUCACUCAGAGGCAUCUGGAAUGUCGUGUGUAGGGGUAAAAUCCGUAGAUACACGAUGGAACGCCAAAAGCGAAGGCAGGAUGCUAGGGGUGUACUGACACUCAGAGACGAAAGCGUGGGGAGCAAAGGGGAUUAGAUACCCCCGUAGUCCACGCCCUCAACGAUGCGUGCUCGGUGUAGGAACUUCAAUCUGUUCCUGUGCCCUAAGCUUACGCGGUAAGCACGCCGCCUGGGAAGUACGGCCGCAAGGCUA
Molecule: ribosomal RNA, 378 nt
Filed under: uncultured bacterium
Lineage: Bacteria
Description: bacterial SSU rRNA
Rfam family: Bacterial small subunit ribosomal RNA
Source: RNAcentral